AAUUAAGUGUCUGAUUAAAGAGUUAUCUUGAUAGGAUAAAACAAGCUUAUUGCCUUAAUUA
Molecule: transfer RNA, 61 nt
Filed under: Megalothorax incertus
Lineage: Eukaryota; Metazoa; Arthropoda; Collembola; Neelipleona; Neelidae
Description: tRNA-Ile
Source: RNAcentral